CCUACGGGAGGCAGCAGUGGGGAAUAUUGCGCAAUGGGCGAAAGCCUGACGCAGCGACGCAGCGUGAGGGACGAAGGCCUUCGGGUUGUAAACCUCUUUCAGCGGGGACGAAGCGAAAGUGACGGUACCCGCAGAAGAAGCACCGGCUAACUACGUGCCAGCAGCCGCGGUAAUACGUAGGGUGCAAGCAUUGUCCGGAUUUAUUGGGCGUAAAGAGCUCGUAGGCGGCUUGUCACGUCGGAUGUGAAAACUCGGGGCUCAACCCCGAGCCUGCAUUCGAUACGGGCUAGCUAGAGUGUUGCAGGGGAGACUGGAAUUCCUGGUGUAGCGGUGAAAUGCGCAGAUAUCAGGAGGAACACCGGUGGCGAAGGCGGGUCUCUGGGCAACUACUGACGCUGAGGAGCGAAAGCGUGGGGAGCGAACAGGAUUAGAUACCCUGGUAGUCCACGCCGUAAACGGUGGGCGCUAGGUGUGGGGAACCUUCCACGUUCUCUGUGCCGUAGCUAACGCAUUAAGCGCCCCGCCUGGGGAGUACGGCCGCAAGGCUAAAACGUCCAAAAGUAGUAAGUCGGACCGUGAGACGUACGCGACGAGACCACGACGGAGGGUAGG
RNAcentral lists this ribosomal RNA (612 nucleotides) under uncultured bacterium. RNAcentral's name for it is "bacterial SSU rRNA". It matches the Rfam family "Bacterial small subunit ribosomal RNA", at positions 338 to 961 of the family's 1533-position model. The record is from RNAcentral.